CUAAAGGAACGCCCAUUGAGAACCUGCAACACAUGUGGCCCAUACAUAUACAGCCACCAAACUAGAUCCAGAAGAAUAUCUAAGAUACAUGAAUGCAGCUGAUCCAAAGAAAAGAGAAAUAGCCAUGAUGUGAGAGCUACAGGUGCUGAAGGCUUUUGACCUUCCUUGUGUGGAUUUGAUGUUUAGAAUGUUGGCGAGGAUGAAAACAUAGGAAAUGAGGAUCGUACAGCUGGGGACUGUGAUGUUAAUACCCACAACUACAAGAACAACCACCUCAUUGACAUAAGUGCUGGUACAAGAAAGUUGGAGGAGAGGGAGAAUGUCACACAAGUAAUGGUUGAUGAGAUUGGCAUUACAGAAAGUCAGUCUGAGCAUGCAGCCUGUGUGGACAGAGGCUCCAGCAAACCCCAUCCCAUAAGCAGCAAAAGAUAGAAUAGAACAGACCUGAGGGGACAUGGUGACCUUAUAUAGCAAUGGAUUACAAAUGGCCACAUAGCGAUCAUAGGCCAUUGAGGUCAACAUGUAGCAUUCAGAGAUGACAAAAAAGAGAAAGAGAAACAGCUGAGUCAUGCACCCCUCAAAGGAGAUGGAGUUCUUCUCAGAGACAAAGUUCAUCAGCAUUUUGGGACUGAAGACAGAAGAGUAGCUGAGAUCAAUGAAGGAGAGGUUGAAAAGGAAAUAGUACAUCGGGGUGUGCAGAUGAGGAUUGAGGCCAAUCAGGAUAAUCAAACCAAUGUUUCCGGCCACUGUGAUAAUGUAGAUUAUUAGAAACAGGAAAAAGAGAGGCAGCUGGAGCUCUGGACAAUCUGUUAAGCCAGCAAGGACAAA
This 828-nucleotide long non-coding RNA is filed under the name Rattus norvegicus (Norway rat). Its description in RNAcentral is "long non-coding RNA NONRATT021074". The record is from RNAcentral. Lineage: Eukaryota; Metazoa; Chordata; Mammalia; Rodentia; Muridae.